Chelonia mydas (Green sea turtle) is the source of this 692-nucleotide long non-coding RNA. RefSeq lists it as uncharacterized. Lineage: Eukaryota; Metazoa; Chordata; Testudines; Cheloniidae. The transcript is spliced from 3 exons. The record is from RefSeq and is a predicted model, not a curated record.
CCAGAAUGCUGGUCAGCUCCUGUUCCCCAGCACUCUGUCACAGGGCUGAACUGGGCCAAUGCAAAACUUGUGUUGAUUUCACGGGAACCUUUCUGUAGCAACAUGGAUACAAACAGCCUACACUGAUCUUUUCCUGGGCCAAGGGACGUUGUCUUCAAAGGUCCCAACUGAGACAAAGGAAAGACACCCCCUGACUCCAGCGGGGUUUGGAUGAGGCCCCUGGUCAAUUGGAUGGAAAUUCACAGUGCCUGGGAUGGAUGGGAGUGUGCCAGCCUCCAGCUGCAGGCUCUGUGUCUUUGUGCAUUAGGGACAAAAACCUAUCUGUGCACGAGUACCUUGACAGAAAGGGAGAACAGAGGGAAAAUGCAGGCCUGCGGCUUCUCAUCCAAACGAAGCCACACAAAAGAAGAAGCUAACACAGUGGAAAACGUCAUGUCUGCAAAGCACCAAGGAGGAAAUCAACACAACUUUAAGAGGUAGCAGACAGGGAAUAGAUUACAGCACUUUUAAAUGAAAGGUGUUAUGGGGCUCCUGGAGGGAACCGGCUGGGAGUAAGAAAGAAGUUCAGUGUAGUUAGACUCACUGCACUCGUGAAUCACCUACACUGUUUGGGUCCAUUAAGCCUUUGUCUUACAACGCCCUCAAAAUGCAGACAGAAUUGUUCAGUAUCGUUGACAGCCUGUUUAUCCAAU